RNAcentral lists this long non-coding RNA (1472 nucleotides) under Capra hircus (goat). RNAcentral's name for it is "lncRNA (ENSCHIG00010024691.1)". The record is from RNAcentral. Lineage: Eukaryota; Metazoa; Chordata; Mammalia; Artiodactyla; Bovidae.
AUGAUUUGCCCGCUCUACUCCCUUCCCCCCACCAGGAGGUGGGAGCACCAGCUCCACUUCCCUGAAGGAAAACCGAAGCCAAGCCCCCAGGCCUGCCAUAGUGAAGGUCAUUGCAGCGCUGGGCCUGGAGAGCUGAUCACAGGCUUCAGGGGUUGGGGGUGGGGGGCUGGUGGGGUGGGAGGGUGGCUGGGGGCCUCCAGAGAUGAGCCCCAAAGGAUCGCAGGAGGGGCAGACGCAGGCUGGGAGUUGCAGAGGGCCGGGUUCAAAUCCUGCCUCUGUUAUGCUGUGUGACCUUGAAUAAGUAAUUUAACCUACGAGUGUGAGACUCCUAAUUUGCAACUCGAAGAUGAGUAGUCCCUCCCUCGCUGAGUCACUGUAAGGAUUCAGGAUUGUGACCUUCCUGUCCCCAGCAGAGCUCUGGGGUAUUUGAGGAGCAGGCUGAGAAGGGUUGGGGACGGCACAGUGACUGCACGUCCCUGGAUUCCCAGGUCCACCUUGGUUUCCAAAAUUCGACUGGGGCCUGCGGUCCCUCCGCGUGAGAGUGCUCGGGGCACUGCGCGCACCGGGUCCCCACCCUCGCGCCCCGACACGCCUGCCGCCCAGCCUCACCUCGCUCCUCCCGCCAUCGGCUCCAGCUCGUCCCCCUGCCAACGCCGGGUGCGGUCUUCCGGGCAGCUCCCCAGGCUGCCCUCCUCCCCUUCUCCCGUCCCCAAAGGUGCGCUCCUGGAGGAUAAAGCGGGCGCCAAGCCGAGCGUCCCGGCUGUGCGGGCUGCGGGCGUGUAAAACCCCCAAGACCCCAGUCCCGUCAGACUCCAGCCCUCCCACGGUCUAAGCGCGCCCCGACCUGCUGGACCUCCCCGAGGGGACAGCGCCCGGGCCCUUCCCUGGCCCCACGGAGGCGAGGACCGGGCGGCGCCGAGACGCGGGAGGCGGGGGCGCUGACCCAGGCAGGCGGCUGGGAGAGCAGCCGGCCUCAUCCUCCUGCCGGCGCUACCGGGGCCGCCGAGGGGCGGGGAGGGCAGACCGGACUGCAGGCAGCGCCGGAGGCUUCCCUCAUGGCUCAGGCGGUGAAGAAUCGGCCUGCAAUGCAGGAGACCCAGGUUUGAUUCCUGUGUCGGGAAGAUACCCUGGAGGAGGAAAUGGCAACCCUCUCCAGUAUUCUUGCCUGGANNNNNNNNCGGACAGAGGAGCCUGGCGGGCUACAGUCCAUGGGGACGCAAGAGUCGGACACGACUGAGCGACUAAACCACCACCACCACCUGGAACAAAGUAGCCUGGAGGGGAAGGCUUGGUGGGCGCCCUCCACAGACCUCGGACCUCAAGCCAGAGACAUCCAGCGGCGCUCUGCCCAGGAGACGCGCUCUUGCCUCUCCAGUAUCGAGAAAAGGCGACCCUAAAAAAAAAGUCCAAAAUUCUCCAAGCCAGACUUCAGCAAUAAGUGAACCGUGAACUCCCUGAUGUUCAAGCUGGUU